AGCAAUGCCGCGUGUGUGAAGAAGGCCUGCSGGUUGUAAAGCACUUUCAGUGGGGAAGAMAAGCUUGGUGUGAAUAGCGCCGAGUCUUGACGUUACCCAAAGAAGAAGCACCGGCUAACUCCGUGCCAGCAGCCGCGGUAAUACGGAGGGUGCGAGCGUUAAUCGGAAUCACUGGGCGUAAAGCGCGCGUAGGCAGCAGAGUAAGUCGGGUGUGAAAGCCCUGGGCUUAACCCAGGAACUGCAUUCGAUACUGCUUAGCUAGAGUAUGGUAGAGGGAAGCGGAAUUCCGGGUGUAGCGGUGAAAUGCGUAGAGAUCCGGAGAACACCAGUGGCGAAGGCGGCUUCCUGGACCAAUACUGACGCUGAGGGUGCGAAAGCGUGGGGAGCAACAGGAUAGAUACCUGGUAGUCACGCCUAACGAUGUCGACUAGCCGUUGGGCCCAAUUAAGGGUUUAGUGGCGCASUAACGCGUUAAGUCGACGCUGGGAGUACGGCCGCAAGUAAAACCUCAAAUGAUUGACGGGAUGCAUGAUAUCGAUUCCUGCAGCCG
This 550-nucleotide ribosomal RNA is filed under the name uncultured bacterium. Its description in RNAcentral is "bacterial SSU rRNA". It matches the Rfam family "Bacterial small subunit ribosomal RNA", at positions 390 to 1383 of the family's 1533-position model. The record is from RNAcentral.